GAAAUUUUAGACGGGUUCUGGAAGACCAUACUAAAAUGUUACAUAACUGGGCGACGAAAUCAAGACGCACCUUGCAUUCUCGAUAAUGUCAAAGUGCAUCGUUGAUGUGCUCGCUUGGAAUUCAGAGAUCGGAUGUAUAGUCAGCAUAAUUGAUGAUACCAGCACUGUCUGACAUUUUUGCAUCGUAAACACGAUCGCUCGAUGGAACAUGGACAAAUUAUGACGGAUAACACAGUCGUACUUUGCACAGUGCUACAUUAGGGUCUAGCGAUUUUACAAAGUUUGCUUUUCACUAUUUUAAAAUUUUCCAUUUACAUUUUCAUAUCAAAUUAAUUCUAUUAUUAGUCAGUACAGUUGAACUCAUCAUUUUCAUCAUAUAUGGAAACCUUGCAUAAUAUCAAUUAAGAUCUCAAUACCUACGUUUCUCCUUUUUAUCUUCUCAUUUUUUAUAUCAACAUAAUGCAAAUCUUUCGUAUGAGUCUCGACGCAGAGAUCAAAGAAUUAUAGAUAUUUGAAGAAAAACCGCAGAAAAUACUUAAAAAAUAAACAAUUUAUUCGUUCAUCCACAUCAGCAAAGUGGCGGCACGAAUAUAUACAUUUCCGCUAAAAUUCUCCUGCUCAAAUCAAUACGCAAUUUGUUUGCUGGCAGCGAUGGCACACACGAGCGCGGUGAAUGUCACAAGAUCGAUCGUGCCAUGUAUUUCGUGCAUCGGAGAAUCUUUUUCCUAUGACAUGCAGUAUAUAUAUAUUGCGUAAGUGUGGGUGACCAGCUGUGACAUGUACGACAUGAUUGCUACGAUUGGAGGCGGUCCUCAUCGCCCGUGAAUGAGUGACCGAGGCAUAAAGUUCUCAGAAAAAAGCGGGAAAACCUUUGUGAUGAAAGGUCACCGCGUGUGCCGAUGGACGAGGGUGAUUAGACAGAGCGGGGACAUCCGCAGUGUAGGCGUCAGGACGCCGGGCGCCUAUGUAUUGACCGACCCUACUCAAAUCUAUUGCUAGUUUCUCGAGUGCCUGGUGCCUAUUCGGUAUCGGCCGCCAAUUCGGUUGCCUUUGCUUGUAUAGAAUAAACAGCUGGGAGGAUCUCUUUCCGGUGGAAAUAUACUUCUACUUAAUGGAGACGAUUAAUAUGUGUGUAGCGAGAGCUGAGAGUCACGUGUAUAAUGGAAUGUUGUUUGUUCAUGCUAGAUCAGCUUGCAACACUUGAGAGUUUGGGAGACCACAGAUGGGAAUUCAGAAUUCUCGACGAUAGCUUGUGCAAACGCAUCUGGACUUAUCUGUGAACGUCAGCCAGGGUGAAUGACCGCGGCGGAGGAUGCCCUUAAGGAAUUCGAAAAUUUUAGGCGCAAUAGAUAAGCAGAAAAUCGCGCGUCUUCCGUUCCACUUCCAAAUAACGUUCAACUCCGCUUUCGCAUUGGCAAAUAUUUACUAGCAGCAGAUCUGGUUCCAUUGGUCUCAGCAUCAGCCAGGUCCGGCGACCAGUAGAAGGGAGAGAUGCAGGCGAUGUUAUACAUUUCGACAUUUACCGCAUCCCCUGAGAAAAAGUAGAAGUGAUUCUAGGUAAACCUAGAGGACUCGUGUUCUCUUUGAAGUUUGUCCUUUUGCGGAUAAUAAGAGUUCCUCGAAAAUCGAUUGAGAAGUACGGAGGAUCAUCUCUGGCCAUCAAUCUCGCGGCUCUUCAGAAGUCGCGCGUCUAGGAUCUCUCUUUCAUAAGGAACCAAUGGAACGCAGCGAGGGCGUGUGAACGUUCAUUGCGACGGGAGGUGGAUCAGCCGUUGGAGAGAAACUGCGAGCAGUUUUGAUUAACGAGGGUGCAUAUACACUCACCGGGAAGGAUUUCGAGAAGGGUCGACCGACGGGAGCCAUACUACCAUAUGCACCGGCGUCUGGCCUUGGAUCAUCCAGAUUCCCCGCUCCCUACCCUGCUGUUAUCCUCGCUUUCUCGUCCUGACCUUCCUUCUCUUUCGUUCUCGUCGUCGCCUUGCAUCGGGGUCAACGAACUUGCGCAGAAGAUAUGGAUCGUUAAGCGGGUUCUGCACCCCGCCGCUCGACGACACCCUGGAAAGUUCCAUGACGCAUACUAGGAAACGCCGAUGAUCCCUUUGAGCCUGAAAAUUUCAAUGGUCGAAAGGAAGGAUGACAGGAAGGAUACUUUUUACAGAUCUUGACGAUAGGAAAAAAACAAAAAAUAGUGUGUGAAAAAGAAUAAAAAUCUGGAAAGUGAUUCUUUUGCUAAA
Molecule: long non-coding RNA, 2234 nt
Filed under: Ooceraea biroi (clonal raider ant)
Lineage: Eukaryota; Metazoa; Arthropoda; Insecta; Hymenoptera; Formicidae
Description: uncharacterized LOC113562264
Source: RNAcentral